This 797-nucleotide ribosomal RNA is filed under the name uncultured bacterium. RNAcentral's name for it is "bacterial SSU rRNA". It matches the Rfam family "Bacterial small subunit ribosomal RNA", at positions 8 to 796 of the family's 1533-position model. The record is from RNAcentral.
AGAGUUUGAUCCUGGCUCAGAUUGAACGCUGGCGGAAUGCUUUACACAUGCAAGUCGAACGGCAGCACGGGAGCUUGCUCCUGGUGGCGAGUGGCGAACGGGUGAGUAAUACAUCGGAACAUGCCUAGUCGUGGGGGAUACCGUAGCGAAAGUUACGUUAAUACCGCAUACGUCCUGAGGGAGAAAGCAGGGGAUUCGCAAGAACCUUGCGCGAUUAGAGUGGCCGAUGCCUGAUUAGCUAGUUGGUGAGGUAAUGGCUCACCAAGGCGACGAUCAGUAGCGGGUCUGAGAGGAUGAUCCGCCACACUGGAACUGAGACACGGUCCAGACUCCUACGGGAGGCAGCAGUGGGGAAUUUUGGACAAUGGGGGCAACCCUGAUCCAGCCAUUCCGCGUGAGUGAAGAAGGCCUUCGGGUUGUAAAGCUCUUUCAGCGGGAACGAAACGGUGCGCUCUAACAUAGCGUAUUAAUGACGGUACCCGCAGAAGAAGCACCGGCUAACUACGUACCAGCAGCCGCGGUAAUACGUAGGGUGCGAGCGUUAAUCGGAAUUACUGGGCGUAAAGCGUGCGCAGGCGGCUUUUUAAGCCAGACGUGAAAUCCCCGGGCUUAACCUGGGAAUGGCGUUUGGAACUGGAAGGCUAGAGUGUGUCAGAGGGGGGUAGAAUUCCACGUGUAGCAGUGAAAUGCGUAGAGAUGUGGAGGAAUACCGAUGGCGAAGGCAGCCCCCUGGGAUAACACUGACGCUCAUGUACGAAAGCGUGGGUAGCAAACAGGAUUAGAUACCCUGGUAGUCG